Molecule: ribosomal RNA, 558 nt
Filed under: Salmonella enterica subsp. enterica serovar Typhimurium
Lineage: Bacteria; Pseudomonadati; Pseudomonadota; Gammaproteobacteria; Enterobacterales; Enterobacteriaceae
Description: bacterial SSU rRNA
Rfam family: Bacterial small subunit ribosomal RNA
Source: RNAcentral
CUGGUCUUGACAUCCACAGAACUUUCCAGAGAUGGAUUGGUGCCUUCGGGAACUGUGAGACAGGUGCUGCAUGGCUGUCGUCAGCUCGUGUUGUGAAAUGUUGGGUUAAGUCCCGCAACGAGCGCAACCCUUAUCCUUUGUUGCCAGCGAUUAGGUCGGGAACUCAAAGGAGACUGCCAGUGAUAAACUGGAGGAAGGUGGGGAUGACGUCAAGUCAUCAUGGCCCUUACGACCAGGGCUACACACGUGCUACAAUGGCGCAUACAAAGAGAAGCGACCUCGCGAGAGCAAGCGGACCUCAUAAAGUGCGUCGUAGUCCGGAUUGGAGUCUGCAACUCGACUCCAUGAAGUCGGAAUCGCUAGUAAUCGUGGAUCAGAAUGCCACGGUGAAUACGUUCCCGGGCCUUGUACACACCGCCCGUCACACCAUGGGAGUGGGUUGCAAAAGAAGUAGGUAGCUUAACCUUCGGGAGGGCGCUUACCACUUUGUGAUUCAUGACUGGGGUGAAGUCGUAACAAGGUAACCGUAGGGGAACCUGCGGUUGGAUCACCUCCUUA